AGACGUCUACAUUAGAUACCCGUGUAGUCCCAGCCGUAAACUAUGCGCGUUAGGUGUAUCGGUGACCACGAGUCACCGAGGUGCCGAAGGGAAACCGUGAAACGUGCCGCCUGGGAAGUACGGUCGCAAGGCUGAAACUUAAAGGAAUUGGCGGGGAGCACCACAACGGGUGGAGCCUGCGGUUUAAUUGGACUCAACGCCGGGAAGCUCACCGGAUAAGACAGCGGAAUGAUUGCCGGGCUGAAGACUCUGUCAUGACUAGCUG
Molecule: ribosomal RNA, 265 nt
Filed under: uncultured archaeon
Lineage: Archaea
Description: partial 16S ribosomal RNA
Rfam family: Archaeal small subunit ribosomal RNA
Source: RNAcentral